RNAcentral lists this long non-coding RNA (585 nucleotides) under Hordeum vulgare. RNAcentral describes it as "long non-coding RNA (HVUL_LNC007591)". The record is from RNAcentral. Lineage: Eukaryota; Viridiplantae; Streptophyta; Magnoliopsida; Poales; Poaceae.
UGGCGAUCAUUAUAUAUUCUCAGAUCACAAUAAGAUUUUAUUACUAGAUCACAUCACUUGUCCAUUGUUUGACAUGAUGGUUUAUUGCGACGCUACCAACAGACGAGGCAAUAACAAUGCCAAUAGUAUGGGACAACAUUGGCACACCAAAACUUUCUAAGUUCAGGUCCAAACAAAUCCUUGCAGGCCACCUGGCAAGUUGACACAUCGCACUCACGUCCGUAAGCAGCAACCAUCUCCUUACAUUCCUCUGUAGAAAAAAUCACAGACCUUUACAAGAAGUCCAAAUUGGGAUAAUUAUCAAGAUAUUCAUGAUGUUUAAGUGAAAGUAUUAUCCUACAAUGGUUGACAGAAGAAAGGAAACAUAUAUAGGGAUAGAGAGAUCAAUUUCUUACCAUCAUGAAAGGAAUUUCCUAGCUGCACAAGCACCAUAAGGCAAAGAAGAAUAGCUUUCCCCUCCAUAAGAGAAGACACAAAGUUCUUAAUUACUCUUGACUCGGUUUGGGCGUCCAGAAGCAAACACGAUUGUAUAUAUAUAUAUUUAUAUAGAGAAAGAGAGACUAAUAGCUAGAGAAUAUUGACUCC